AAAUAAAGUCCGUAUAGUAUAAUAACAGCACAUGGCUUUACAGUUCUGAUUUAUGGCAGUCUUCGGGUCCCGUGCAAUGGAAUCCCAUGAAUCCUGUCAGGUCCGAGAGGAAGCAGCAGUAAGUGGUCCUUUCUAUGUGCCACGGUGUAUUCUGAAGGCUGUCAUAAAUGAGAGUUGUAAAGUCUUUUUUU
Non-coding RNA from Dialister invisus CAG:218, 191 nucleotides. The record is from Rfam. NCBI's taxonomy places the organism in Bacteria, Bacillati, Bacillota, Negativicutes, Veillonellales, Veillonellaceae.